Molecule: long non-coding RNA, 3010 nt
Organism: Camelus dromedarius (Arabian camel)
Lineage: Eukaryota; Metazoa; Chordata; Mammalia; Artiodactyla; Camelidae
Exons: 3
Source: RefSeq, a predicted model, not a curated record
CCAGAACCGUUCUCAGCCUUAAGUUUGCUCCAAGAAAUAAAAAUAGUGAUUUAGGGCUCAAUCGCUCCCACAAGAGACUCCCCUGUUUCAGGGGGCAGAGUGGGGAGGAGGCAGAGGAGAAGGCCACUGGGAAGCAGGGGGCUGCUGCCCACAGGGCCCUUUGGCCUCGGAUUCCAGACCUGCUGGUCUGUUUCUCCCAGGCCUGUUGUUGUGUUCAAAGCGGGUGCUUUCACGGUCACUGGAUCAGAGUGAAUUCUUCAGGACGGCUCAGGGCAGCCCCUGUUCUAAGGAUGUAAUGACCUAACAUGCGAUUGAAAACCAGCCUGUCAGGCGCACACCAAGCUCACGGAUUCCAGUCUGUCCGCAAGACCACGAAGGGGAAGCGUGGAAGCGACGUGGUCAUCUGUUAAGUACGUACUCUCCAUUCCUUCUUCUUUGAUCCAUGGAAAGAACCAACAGAUGAGGCAAGGUAUUGUGUGAUCAAAGGGCCUGAGAGGUGUGUUUGUGCCCAGCUGAGUAGAGCGUGGGGGUGCCUGGUUUAAAUGUGGUGACAACGUUGCUGAAGCGACAAGACUGCUGAGGGCGGUUUUCCGCAAAGAGCUGCUGCCACUAAUGUCUGCUCUAUGGGCCCCCAGGUCUGCGAGGACGGCAGUGGGGGAAGCACCUCUGACCUGGUCUCCAGUGUGGUGCCAGUCCCAUCUCGGCCCCGGGAGCCACUGCCACCCCUUCAGUCACCGCCUCUGCGGGGAGAGGCUGAGCUGCACGCCCGCCCCCAUCCUCCAUCCGCAGAAAGACAGCUUCCUUCGUCUUAUUAACGGUAACACAUCCCAGCACUCCAGGAACUACAGACCUCAUCCUGAAGCAGUCACGUUGCUUAUCUGAAUGAAAGACUGUUUCCUCCCCCUAAUGAAUGUGAACAGGGCCCCAGAGCCGAGGGCGAAAUGUGGGAGUCCCGCUGGACUGCGCAGGGCGACCGUAGACAGAUGACACGGUGACUCUUUUCUCGGGAAUCUCCCGUGAUCAGUGUGACAGGCGGGCACAGAGGUGGGACUCAGGAGAUUUUGCUUUAAUUAUUCUGCCCGGAGCAGCAGGAUACUUUGUUCUUUGCCAGCACCACCGCACGCUGAUGCUUAAAGAGGCUUGAAAACGGGACCCUACCCGUGCUUCUCAACCUGUGGCAAACACAGCCUCCCUCAUUUUACUUUAUUUCUUAUUAAUUUGUUUUUAUGGAAGCAUAGUUGAUUUACAGCAUUGUGUUAGUUCCCGGUGUGCAGUAUACUGAUUCAAUUACACAUAGAUAAAUAUUCUUUUUCAGAUUCUUUUCCGUUAUAGGCCAUUACAAGAUAUUGAAUAUAGGUCCCUGUGCUGCACAGCAGGACCUUGUUUUUUAUCUAUUUUGUAUGUAGUAGUUUGUAUCUGCUAAUCCCAAACUCCCAAUUUAUCCCUCCCCACCUUUCCUCCUUUGGUAACCAUAAGUCUGUUUUCUGUGUCUGAGUCUGUUUCUGUUUUGUAAAUAAGCUCAUUUACGUCUUCUUGUUUUUUAGAUUCCACAUAUGAGUGCUGUCACAUAUUUGGCCUUCUCUGUCUGAGUUACUUCACUGAGUGUGAUCCUCUCUGAGUCCAUCCCUGUUGCUGCAAAUGGCAUGAUUUCAUUCUUUUUUAUCAGCUGCCUUCAUUUUGCGGGCGGGAAACUGAGACCUAGACAGACGAUUGCUCUCAGCAGGGGCUCUGAAGGCUCGUACCUCAUCACAACUGAUAGACCUUCAUGUCUCUCCCUCCUCGACUGCUCUGAUCAUUGUAUUUGAAAAUCCACCAUAAAGGGGAGAAAUUCUCAGGAGGCUUUGAAGAAGGGGCCAACAUCUUUAAGUUACAGUGAGGAGUGCAUGCGUAUGUGUGUAUGUGCAUGUGUGGACGUGAGUUUGAGGUCUGCAUGGUUCGGGGUCUGGAGACCUAGGCUUGCAAAGACGGAGGCAGGGAGCAUCCAGUGCAGGCGCUGGCCCCAGUCAGGUGCCCUGCAAGCUGCAGGCACGUGAGCUGAGCGGCAGAGAGGGGAGCUGGAGGGGGAUGGAAGAAAAAUCACCUAGAACACAGCUCUGCCUUCCAAGAUGCGCUCGGAAUAUAAUCUUUUCAAAGUUAAGGAAAAAGCCUGGCUCCUGGCUGAUACAGGGCCCCCGUCUGAGUCCAGCCAUUGCCCAGAGUGGCAGUUGAGAGCAAACUUUUCGUUUGGGGGUUUACCGCCAGGAAGCCCUCUGAGACCACAAGGAGGGUCCAUGUAUGCCCCUUUGCACUUUCUAAAAAACUAAAUUGAGUCCCUUUGAAAUCUGUAGAUAUGAGUCUGCUGAACUCCCCACAGGAAGAACUGAAAAUUCUCAGGAUUCUGGUUAUUUAUAGCCCGCAUUCCAUGCCUGCAGCACCAGGUUAUCAGCGCUUCCCCGACGGGUGCUGGGUCCUGGAUGACGUGCCUUACACUGUUUCUGCACGACUCAGCCACGUGACAUCACCAGACUUUGCAGAAUCCCCCAAAGUUCAGAGGAGAAAGGGAGGGAGCACCAAAAUUACCAGGGAGAGUUCCUGGAAUCAAGCUGUCUGUAAGAGUUGAUCGUUUUAAGGGAAUCCACUUAAUUCCCUUAAAUCAUUUUGACUAACUCACUAGCUAGUUCAGCAAAGCAAGCAGCUUAACCCAUUGACGAUCGAAUUGAUUAACUGCUUUUGUUUGCGUUUCUUGUUUUUGUUUUUGUUUUUGACAUAGUGUAGGCACAGCUCAAGUUAAGCAAACCUGACCAUCUUUUCAAUGCUUCCGGAAUAGAAGCGAAAAUGAUUUACGAAUGUGACAGUCCAUGUGGAAAACAGAGCUUCAUUAAAGAAUUAGGUGGGAUUAAAUGGGUUAAGCUCACCAGAAAAAAGUUAAAAUAAAAGGCUAUUCUUGCCAGGGAAUGAAGUCUCUGCAGAAGUGGUGUGGAGGGUCCCUCAGGGCCUCGGAACAAUUAGCUCGCAGAAAAUUAGAGGCAGC